AAUUAGUACUCUAUUUUUUCCUUAUUUUAUUGAAAUUUUAUUUGGAUUAACUUUUUUUUCUCUUUCUACUCAAAAUUCCACAAUGGACUACGGAAACUACGGACAAUUUUCUAUUUUCGGCAUGCAGAAUCCAGAGGCUUUUUAUCCUGAAGUCGGCGGCACGGCCCAUAGUUACAACCAGAACCCUUUGUCGAGCGCUAUGACGAACCCUAUGGAUUCUCAAAUGCCGGAAGAGGCGUAUGCUAUGACACCGAACCAGGCUCAACUAAACAUGCCAGAGGGACACACCCCCUACAAUUCUAGGCAACAAGUCGCUCCCAGUGCCAGCUCCUAUCGCUGUAUGGUGCGCCAACAGAAGAGGGCGCGAGAGAUGAGGGCACGCAAUGGAUUAUACUCCCCCACAGAUGGGCCUGGGAGCAUGAGUGGCGGUGAUGGUUAUCCUUGUUGUGCGGGACCUAGUGUUAAUGGAUCCAGCAUGAAUUCGCAGCCGAGUAAUAUGUUUUGGUAGGGCUUGUGUAUGCUAGCAACUUGUUAUGGAUUCGGAAGCGAUUGAUUCGUUUGGAUAGUAUUUUAUGAGCCGAGUAAUUCGCAUUGCCAGUAUUUAUAUUGCCUCUUCAGUCUCUUAGCAGCAUUUCCAUGGCGUAUGGGCAUAACGAACACAACUAACGAGAUUAUAAUAAAAUAUACAUCGAACAUUUACAAAUGCUUUGUCUUCAAGUACUUCAAAAAUCUAUGAUCUCUGUCAUUACGUAAGUUUUUAAAAAGAAGCCGUUUUAGAUUUGCGGUCAUCAUCGAAAGAACUAUAUAUUAUUGGUGAAGAUGUUAAAAAGUUGACAUCAUAAAUAGGCAGAGACUGCGUAAGUAAUGUAAAAAUUUGGUUGGAUCGAUGCAAAAACCCAUUAGUAACGAAAUAUUUUAAUUCAAUUGUUAAAAAUUAAAUAGAAAUAAAUAUUUGUUUCAAUGCAAAA
Scaptodrosophila lebanonensis is the source of this 968-nucleotide RNA transcript. RefSeq lists it as uncharacterized. The record is from RefSeq and is a predicted model, not a curated record. Lineage: Eukaryota; Metazoa; Arthropoda; Insecta; Diptera; Drosophilidae. The transcript has 6 exons.